Molecule: ribosomal RNA, 468 nt
Filed under: uncultured bacterium
Lineage: Bacteria
Description: partial 16S ribosomal RNA
Rfam family: Bacterial small subunit ribosomal RNA
Source: RNAcentral
GACGAACGCUGGCGGCGUGCUUAACACAUGCAAGUCGAACGGAAAGGCCCUGCUUUUGUGGGGUGCUCGAGUGGCGAACGGGUGAGUAACACGUGAGUAACCUGCCCUUGACUUUGGGAUAACUUCAGGAAACUGGGGCUAAUACCGGAUAGGAGCUCCUGCUGCAUGGUGGGGGUUGGAAAGUUUCGGCGGUUGGGGAUGGACUCGCGGCUUAUCAGCUUGUUGGUGGGGUAGGGGCUUACCAAGGCUUUGACGGGUAGCCGGCCUGAGAGGGUGACCGGCCACAUUGGGACUGAGAUACGGCCCAGACUCCUACGAGAGGCAGCAGUGGGGAAUAUUGCACAAUGGGCGGAAGCCUGAUGCAGCAACGCCGCGUGCGGGAUGACGGCCUUCGGGUUGUAAACCGCUUUCGCCUGUGACGAAGCGUGAGUGACGGUAAUGGGUAAAGAAGCACCGGCUAACUACGUG